RNAcentral lists this ribosomal RNA (468 nucleotides) under uncultured bacterium. RNAcentral's name for it is "partial 16S ribosomal RNA". It matches the Rfam family "Bacterial small subunit ribosomal RNA", at positions 28 to 507 of the family's 1533-position model. The record is from RNAcentral.
GACGAACGCUGGCGGCGUGCUUAACACAUGCAAGUCGAACGGAAAGGCCCUGCUUUUGUGGGGUGCUCGAGUGGCGAACGGGUGAGUAACACGUGAGUAACCUGCCCUUGACUUUGGGAUAACUUCAGGCAACUGGGGCUAAUACCGGAUAGGAGCUCCUGCUGCAUGGUGGGGGUUGGAAAGUUUCGGCGGUUGGGGAUGGACUCGCGGCUUAUCAGCUUGUUGGUGGGGCAGUGGCUUACCAAGGCUUUGACGGGUAGCCGGCCUGAGAGGGUGACCGGCCACAUUGGGACUGGGAUACGGCCCAGACUCCUACGGGAGGCAGCAGUGGGGAAUAUUGCACAAUGGGCGGAAGCCUGAUGCAGCAACGCCGCGUGCGGGAGGACGGCCUGCGGGUGGUAAAGCGCUUUCGCCUGGGACGAAGCGUGAGUGACGGUAAUGGGUAAAGAAGCACCGGCUAAAUACGUG